RNAcentral lists this ribosomal RNA (429 nucleotides) under uncultured bacterium. Its description in RNAcentral is "bacterial SSU rRNA". It matches the Rfam family "Bacterial small subunit ribosomal RNA", at positions 355 to 776 of the family's 1533-position model. The record is from RNAcentral.
UGGGGAAUUUUGCACAAUGGACGAAAGUCUGAUGCAGCGACGCCGCGUGUGCGAUGAAGGCCUUUGGGUCGUAAAGCACUGUCGAACGGGACGAAAACUUCAGUACUAAUACUAUUGAAGUCUGACGGUACUGUUAAAGGAAGCACCGGCUAACUCUGUGCCAGCAGCCGCGGUAAUACAGAGGGUGCAAACGUUGCUCGGAAUUAUUGGGCGUAAAGCGCACGUAGGUGGCCUGUUAAGUUGGUCGUGAAAGCCCAUGGCUCAACCAUGGAAGUGCAACCAAAACUGGCAGGCUAGAGUCCUGAAGAGGAUGGCGGAAUUCCCGGUGUAGAGGUGAAAUUCGUAGAUAUCGGGAGGAACAUCGGUGGCGAAGGCGGCCAUCUGGGAAGCGACUGACACUGAGGUGCGAAAGCGUGGGUAGCAAACAGG